Molecule: ribosomal RNA, 523 nt
Filed under: uncultured bacterium
Lineage: Bacteria
Description: bacterial SSU rRNA
Rfam family: Bacterial small subunit ribosomal RNA
Source: RNAcentral
UAGAGUUUGAUCCUGGCUCAGAUUGAACGCUGGCGGCAUGCCUUACACAUGCAAGUCGAACGGCAGCACGGGAGCAAUCCUGGUGGCGAGUGGCGAACGGGUGAGUAAUAUAUCGGAACGUGCCCAGUAGUGGGGGAUAGCCCGGCGAAAGCCGGAUUAAUACCGCAUACGACCUGAGGGUGAAAGCGGGGGAUCGCAAGACCUCGCGCUAUUGGAGCGGCCGAUAUCAGAUUAGCUAGUUGGUGGGGUAAAGGCCUACCAAGGCUACGAUCUGUAGUUGGUCUGAGAGGACGACCAGCCACACUGGGACUGAGACACGGCCCAGACUCCUACGGGAGGCAGCAGUGGGGAAUUUUGGACAAUGGGCGCAAGCCUGAUCCAGCAAUGCCGCGUGCAGGAAGAAGGCCUUCGGGUUGUAAACUGCUUUUGUCAGGGAAGAAAUCUUCUGGGUUAAUACCUCGGGAGGAUGACGGUACCUGAAGAAUAAGCACCGGCUAACUACGUGCCAGCAGCCGCGGUAAUA